UAUCACAGAGGAAAGUUGUAGAAUUCUGUCCUCAGUUCUCAGUUCAAACUCCUCCAGUCUGAGAGAACUGGACCUGAGUUACAAUAACCUGCAGGAUUCAGGAGUGAAGCUGCUCUCUGCUGGACUGGAGAAUCCACACUGUACACUGGAGAUACUGAGGCUGGAACGCUGCAGUAUUACAGGUGAAGGUUGUGCUGCUCUGGUUUCAGCUCUGAGGUCAAACACCUCAUCACACCUGAGAGAACUGAAUCUGAACUACAAUAAAGCAGGAGAAUCAGGAGUGAAGCUGCUCUCUGAUCUACUGAAGGAUCCACACUGUAAAUUGGAGACACUACAGAUCUGAUCUGAGUCUCACACAUGGAGAAACAUGAUCAACAUGUAAUGUAUUUUAUGAUAAUGAUUGUUUUAAAUGUAAUUCAAAUGUGAUUUGUAUAAUGUAUUAUCACUUCAUAC
Silurus meridionalis is the source of this 453-nucleotide long non-coding RNA. RefSeq lists it as uncharacterized. Lineage: Eukaryota; Metazoa; Chordata; Actinopteri; Siluriformes; Siluridae. The record is from RefSeq and is a predicted model, not a curated record. The transcript has 3 exons.